Molecule: long non-coding RNA, 381 nt
Organism: Culex quinquefasciatus (southern house mosquito)
Lineage: Eukaryota; Metazoa; Arthropoda; Insecta; Diptera; Culicidae
Exons: 3
Source: RefSeq, a predicted model, not a curated record
ACUGUCCCCACCUCAAGUUCCGCAUUCUCUCUGUUAUUAGUCGCCCGUGAGUUCGGCGAGUGGCUUCGUGUAGGUAGUCGUUGUAAAUAUUCUUGAACAAACACGUGCACCCCUUGGCAGUCUGGUACCUCCGGGGGAGUAUAACUUUAAUAGGAUUUGGCACCAACGACCCAGCUGAUUACCGCGGGCUUGCCAGAGAGAGAGACAAAGAGCAUGGCUGGAAUAGUUUUGUGUGAGAAAAUCUUCGAUAUUUUAUCUCUUCAUGGAUAGAAAAAAUGUUGGAGUGGUAGUUGAAGGCCUUUUGGACAACCUAGAGCAUCUUGAAAACAUGAUAUUUGGAAAAUACAGAAAAUGUUGAAUAAAUUUUAAGUUUCAAACGUA